Passer domesticus (house sparrow) is the source of this 532-nucleotide long non-coding RNA. RefSeq lists it as uncharacterized. The record is from RefSeq and is a predicted model, not a curated record. The transcript has 2 exons. NCBI's taxonomy places the organism in Eukaryota, Metazoa, Chordata, Aves, Passeriformes, Passeridae.
AUGGAAUGUAAGGCCCUUCUCUGACCAUGUGCCAAAUCUGCUGCGUGUUUCUACCCAACAUCCUGCUGCACAGGAGCUCACUGCCUUUCCUUGUAGAUGACCUGGAGGGCAGGACCAUGAUCAGCCUCCACAGCACACUGUGUGCUGGCUACUUCUGUACAAUGCAAACUUAGAGGGACACAGCUUUGUUCAGAGCAUCAGCAACCACCCUCCCUUCUUCACCAGCGAUAAAGCAGAAAGCAGUUCACCUGAGUUGGAGAUAAUGCACUUCUUUAGAUACUCCAGUAAGCUGUAUUGUUAUAGCUCUCUUCAAACUAAGUUACAUCUUGUCUCAUCAGGACAGUUUAACUGUUGGCUGGUUGCAGCUGAGAGGUUCUGAGGCUUGAUACUUCAAGUUUUCCAGAGGAUGAAUGUUCUCCUGAAUGCUCCUUUUACUUCUGCAAAUGACCUCUACCAAGAAAUACAGUGUGUUCAGACACGAUCUAUAAUUAGCCCAUCUGCCCUCUGUUGAAGACCACACUCCAGAGAACUU